UACGCAGGGGGCAAUGGUUAAUCGGAAUCACUGGGCGUAAAGGGCACGUAGGCGGCUUGAUAAGUCAGGUGUGAAGUCCCUGGGCUCAACCUGGGAAUGGCAUUUGAUACUGUUGAGCUAGAGUCUGGUAGAGGGAGGUGGAACUCCAGGUGUAGCGGUGAAAUGCGUAGAGAUCUGGAGGAACACAGGUGGCGAAGGCGGCCUCCUGGGUCAAGACUGACGCUGAGGUGCGAAAGCGUGGGGAGCAAACAGG
Molecule: ribosomal RNA, 253 nt
Filed under: uncultured bacterium
Lineage: Bacteria
Description: partial 16S ribosomal RNA
Rfam family: Bacterial small subunit ribosomal RNA
Source: RNAcentral